Firmicutes bacterium CAG:240 is the source of this 73-nucleotide transfer RNA. It matches the Rfam family "tRNA". Rfam says of the family: Transfer RNA (tRNA) molecules are approximately 80 nucleotides in length. Their secondary structure includes four short double-helical elements and three loops (D, anti-codon, and T loops). Lineage: Bacteria; Bacillati; Bacillota. The record is from Rfam.
GCCUCCUUAGCUCAACAGGUAGAGCAUGCGGCUGUUAACCGCAGGGUCGUAGGUUCGAAUCCUACAGGGGGCG